RNAcentral lists this long non-coding RNA (5215 nucleotides) under Sus scrofa (pig). RNAcentral's name for it is "lncRNA (ENSSSCG00040022684.1)". Lineage: Eukaryota; Metazoa; Chordata; Mammalia; Artiodactyla; Suidae. The record is from RNAcentral.
CCAGAAUUCCUAGAUUUUCACAGGUGUAUUUCUCUGGCUACAGAGUAAGUGAGCUUCCCCAGGGGGUUCUGAUGAGGGACCUGUCUUGGUUACUGACCCUGAAAAGCGGUGUUCAGCCAGACCCUUUGGCCUUUGAGGUCUGUUUACUAUGGUUGGAACAAGUGGUCAGGAAGGAACAGUGUAUCAGGUUGUGCUUGCUUUUCUGGAUUUGCUUAAGUGGUUUUUAAAAAUAGAUGUUACGCAAAUAUAACAGAUUAUGCCUAACUUGGGAUAGUGGGAGCCUACUGCACCCCUGGAGAUUGGUGCAUUUCAACCAGUGUCCCAUCUUGUGUGCAGAUGAAGGAAUAGAGAUCUCUUGUCUAAUCUGAAUAUUCGGCAGCACCUGCAGUUUUCCAGGUAGGCCUUGCUGCAGGUCUUCAGGUUGUUCUGUCUGCUUGUUUUUCCCUGUUCAGUUCUUGAUACUAGUCAGACCUGGUCUGUAUCCGAAUCCCCAUGACGCAGAGCCAGUCAGCCUGGAACUGCGCUGUUUGUGUGCUCAGGUCCUGAACCAAGUGUACAGGUACAUGCCCCUUGCAUAUAACCUGCCUCAUUAUUCAGUUCUCCCACAGGUCUGGGCCACUCUUAAGACUGUGACCCUUUGAUUUGGGGCCAAGAUUUCCUUCCUAGCUCUUGCCAUUCUCUCUCCCAGGAGCUAGAUCCUGACCGAAUAGCUGUUAUCUGGGCUUCAACCAGUCCUGUGUGUCAUGAGCUUAUGAAUAUUGUUCAUUCAUUUAUUAUUUGUUGGUUUUGUUUUUUUAAUAGCAGCUUCCUUUUUUUUAUUCUUCUUUUUAGGGCUACACCUGCAGCAUAUGCAGUUCUUGAGCUAGGGGUCAAAUCAGAGCUGCAGCUGCCAGCCUAUGCCACAGCCACAGCUGCACCGGAUCCUUAACCCACUGUGCAAGGCCAGGGAUCAAAUCUGCAUCCUCACAGACACUGUGUCGGGUUCUUAACCUGCUGAGCCACAAUGGGAGCUUCCCAUUAUUUAGGGGAACAAAAUGGUGUAACCCUUGUUCUCAGAGAGUUUAGAUUCUAGUGGGGAAGAAAGAUAUUAAGCCAAUAACCAGACAAGUAAAUAUCCAGUUACAAACUGUGAUAAAUCCUAUGAUGGAUGAGAACUAAAUUCUCAGAAGAAGUAGCAGGCAGGAUCUAAUUUGGAUUGGGUGGGGGUGAGGAAAGUUCUCCCAGAGUUAGCCAAGUGAGGACGAUGAGAAAGGUGAGCAAAUGCAGGUGAAAGGUCUCAGAGGUGGCACUGAGCUUGGCCUCUUUAAUGACUUCCACAGUGGCCAGUGAGAUGAGAGCACUGAUGGCCAACCCUGACUGUGUGAGCAUCCAGUGGCUGCCAUAACUAAUCCUUGCAAACAUACGGCCUGCAACAACAGGACUUACUUUCUCAUAGAUCUGGAGGCCACAAGUACAAAAGAAUAUCCCCGGGCUAAAAUCCAGGGCAGUGCUCCUUCCAGAGGCUUGAGGAGAGCCUUGCUGUUCCAGCCGUUCUUUACUGUUACAGCUUUCGGUGGCUGCCCACAUUCCUUGGCUUGUGGCCACGGCACUCCAGAUCUUCAGAUCUCUCUCUGCUCUACCUUCAUGUCACCUUUUCUGCUGUGUUUCUCAAAUCUCCCUCUGCCUCUCUUGUAUAAGGACAACUGUGACUGUAUUUGGAGCCCACCCAAAUAAUGUAGGGGAAUCUUCCUAACUCCAGAUCCUUAAUCAUAUUAGCAAAAUCCUUUUUUUUUUUUUUUCAUAUCAGGAAACAUCUAUAGGUUUCAGGGAUUAGGACCUGAUAUCUUUGGGGGCCAUUAUUCAGCCCAUUACUCUGGAUUGCUUUAGUAAUCCCUGGAGGAACUUUUAUUUUUAUUUUUAAAAUUUUUUUACUUAUUUUUUCGCUUUGUAGGGCCAUACCCCUGGCAUAUAGAAGCUCCCAGGCUAAGGGUCGACUCAAAGCUACAGCUGCAACGCGGGAUCCGAGGUGCAACCUACACCACAGCUGAUGGCAACACCAGAUCCUUAACCCCCUGAGCAAGGCCAGGGAUCAAACCCGUAUCCUCAUGGAUGUUAAUCGGGUUCGUUAACUGCUGGGAGCUCCCCUGGAGGAGCUUUUAAAUCUGCAUCGCCCACGCUCCACCUUACAUCACUUAAAUCAGAAUCUCUCUGUGAGGCUGGGGCAUGGAUAUUUUUAAAAGCCUCCCCAGGCGAUUCUGAAACAACUGCUAGACUCUGUGGCAGAUAACGUCUGGCCUAGAGCAUGAUGAAGGAAGAGCAGGUGUAGUAACAGGCAGGAUGUCAUCACAAUUUGGACACUUCUCCUGCUUUUAACCUGAUGGGACCUGUUGGCCAUCAAUGCCGACUGAAGGAAGCCCUCGCUGAAUGGACCUCUUGGGAAGGUUUUGUGGUUUAACUUCACUGGGAGCAUCUUGGCCCUGCCUCCUUCCAUUCCUGCUUCUUCUUCGCCAUCCAUCUGACGCUGAGGUCUUGGAUCACGUGAUGCCUCACUCUGCCCAAGUUCUAAAGACGGCAUAGAGCUUACAAGUGAAGGGGGCUCAAACGUCGCUCAUACUUUGCAGGCCUCACACAGAUAGAGCUCACACAAAUACAGCUGGGCACUCUGGAGCUGUAACCCAAGUCUAAAGAUACCUUUGUAAAUUUGUAGGAAAAAAACAAAACCAAACAACUAAGGUUUGAACUACAAACAACCUUAGAGGCAGGCCCAGAACUGAGGAAGCAUGUCAGAGCCUCCAGAACUCACGACUUGUUUUAGCCGUAGAGAGGGGAUGUUUUUCCUUUCUCACUGGACCCACUUAUCUGUGAAGAUGCUGGUGUUUUUCAGUGAAUGUAUUUGGGGAAAAUGGUAAUUGGGUCUAUCAAGAUCCCUGUGUUGAUGUGCAGCUUUGACCCUAAGGACAAACGUAGACUCGGAACCACAUAGGCUUGUCACCUGGGAGCUACGAGAAUGGCCAGGGAAUGUGCUAAGAAUUUGAUGGUCUGAGAACAAGAACCAAUUUAGGGAGUUCCUCAGUAGCUAUUUGCUAGUAGAUCAGUGUUUUCAAAACCCAGUUAGAAAGUCCCAAGCCCCACUCACCCCUGGACCACUAAUAUCAGGGAAGCCAUCUUUGCUUUUACAAAUCACUGAAUUGUCUCCGGGGAGGCAAAGAGGCAAUGAUCUCCUCUUGGGGGCUGCUGUCUUUUUUACGGUCAUCAGAUCUUGUCAUGGGCUCCAGCCACAGGGGAAUGUUGGUAACACCUGGAAAAGGGAGGGUUGUCUCUUUAAGUACUGGGAAUGUUUAACUGGAAAUCCUUUGUGGAUGGGUCCAAGAUCUGUACAGCCUCUGUCCUUCUGAUGUGGAACGCCUCCCUAGCACAGGGCCCCAAUUGGUCUCCUGCUCUUUGUCGCCAACAACCAUCUCAGCUUGGGCCAGACGUCAUGAAAAGAUCCAGUAACAGCAUGAUGCUUCAUGUGGGGGGUCCUUCCGUGGUCUUCCUCUUUGUAGCUACCCUCUUGUCUCCAGCAUGACUUGCACCCCAUUUUCUCCUAUCACAAUGCAAAUAUGAACUGUGUCUGUUUAUUAGUGGGUUUCCUUCGGAGUACUCUUUCAGUUUAGGCAGGCGGCGGGGCGGGGGGGGGUCUUUUCUGAAUUUUUAGUGUUGCAUAUGCUCAAUGCUCAAAGAAAGGUUUGACUUUCUGGUGGGCUCCCUUUCUGAACCUCUUUUUAAAGCUUCCUGUUGGACAUACCCUUUCUUUUCCAAAAUGGCAGUUUCGUGUCCUGUGAGACAGGAAAUGCCUUUUCUCUUGAUUGCCCCUUUUCAGUGGAAAUCUAUCACAAAGGCAAUCACAAAGAAUUCUUUCCUGCUAAGAAGUUGGGUGCUCCAGUCAUACCUGUCUUAUCUAGAAAGUGGUUCAAUUAUUUUCAUCUCUGACAAAAUGAUGAACUUCAGAGGAUUUGCCCAAGGAGAGAGGGUGGAAGGGUUGGCAUGGCUAGCUUCACUACCCUCAUGUGGAGUCAGAAACCUGAAAACAGCCUCGCUCUCAAGCAUGCAUUCCCCUCUUUGUCCGGGGAGUAACGAUGGCUGAGGCGUUGGCAUGCAGAUACUUGCAGAGUGAAAAUGGAUACACUUCCCCAGCUCCUCAUCCCUGGCCUGGAGGACAGCCUGCCAGCCGUGCAUGCAUGUUGGUUUGGCACUGAGACAAAUGUUCCCUGGAGCAUAGACUGAAACCACCAAACUGAUAUCACAGGGGACACCGGCCAAAUCCUGACCUCGCUCUCUGCAGGUGAGAGGCUGUGGAAUUAACCUGUGAUGCUCUCCGGCUCCCGCCUGGUGGGUGGUCUGGAUUUGUUUUCUUUUUCUUUUUUUUUCUUUUUAAUGCCACAUUUGAAUCUCCUUGCUCUCCCCACCCGACUGGUAUCUACCAGCCACAGAGCCACUCUGCCGGUCUUGGCUUGGGAACAGUGGGCAGUGACUUGGCUCCAAGAAAUGGGCAAACCACACGAUUUCUUCUUGCCCCUUGAGAGGGAAGGGCCACUCAUGGGCUGUUCCAGCCUCGAGCCCGGGUGGCAGGGCCCUCGGGCUGGCAUCGCUGGCAUCUGUGGUCGCGGUCUGCUCCUUUUGCGUCCCUCUCUUCCGCAUUUUUCCUCCCACCGUUCCAACUUCUCCCAUCUCCCCCCCGCCUUUUUUGUUUCCAACCCUUAUUUAUUCAGAGCUUCCAAUAUUCUAAGUUUUUCAUGAAUCCAGGGCUUUAAUUUAGCAUGUGGGGUGCUGGCGCUUCCAGCGAGCUGCUUGGGUCAUUAUUUCCAACGUGAAGGAAUAAAGAGGCAGCAGGGUGCAGUGGACAGCAUGGGGGCUGGACGCCAGAAGGCCCCGUGCUAGUCCCUGUCUUGCAUCUAAGCAGCUCUGGAACCCUGGCCGGCCUCGCCCUGGCUGCCAGGCUCAGUUUCCUCCCCAGAGGGAUGGGGAAUCGGGGCGAGAUGAUUUCUAAGGCUCGUCUCAUUCUGUGAUUCUGUGGAGCUCACUGGCCACGUGAAAUCCACAUUGGGUUGUGCCAGUGUCACUUUCCUUUGUGUUUUGAAAAACUAUAUUGUUACGAGGAUGAAUGAGGAGAUGUGAGCAGAGUCCCUAAGCUCGAUGUCUCCAACGCAGAAGACCGAGGGGAAAACCUUCCUGGAAAUCACUUUCCAGGGGCCAU